This is a long non-coding RNA of Brassica oleracea var. oleracea, 722 nucleotides long. RefSeq lists it as uncharacterized. NCBI's taxonomy places the organism in Eukaryota, Viridiplantae, Streptophyta, Magnoliopsida, Brassicales, Brassicaceae. The record is from RefSeq and is a predicted model, not a curated record. The transcript has 4 exons.
GAUUGACUCAUUCCUUGUUAUCAGGUUUGAAGUCAUGGACGGUGUUUGCUAGGUGUCUAAUAAUGGGCGUGGCGGGUUCGAAACUGGAGAAAGCGCUGGGCGAGCAGUUCCCGGAGGGAGAACGAUACUUUGGCUUCGAAAACUUCGGCAACACUUGUUACUGUAACAGUGUCUUGCAGGCACUUUACUUUUGUGCUCCCUUCCGUGAAUAGUUGCUUGAAUACUACACAAAUAAUAAAAGUGAGGAGAAUCUCUUGACUUGCUUGGCUGAUUUGUUUUCUCAGAUAAGUUCUCAGAAGAAUAAGACAUGAGUUAUUGCUCCCAAGCGCUUUGUACAGAGGUUGAAGAAACAAAAUGUACUUUUUCGGAGUUAUAUGCAUCAGGAUGCACAUGAGUUCCUUAAUUAUUUGCUAAAUGAACUUGAUGACAUCUUAGAGAAAGAGGCAAAAAUGGACAAUGAAAUUUCAUCAUCUCCUGGAAAGAUUUCAAAUGGACCAAAACUUCUUCGGGCAAAUGGUGUUCAUAAAGAGCCUACUGUUACAUGGGUGCACAAGAUUUUUCAGGUAACGAGCGGUUCCUUUUGGCUUCAUUACUAUACCAGAGUAAAGCUUAACCGAGUCCCCAAACCAAACCAGAUCAUAAAGUGAUCUCAAGGUGUUUUAGCAUGUGCAAACUAUAUUUGUAUACUUCUAGCACAAAGUCUUAAUUUUCUCUCUUCUCAC